This 1395-nucleotide ribosomal RNA is filed under the name uncultured Candidatus Altimarinota bacterium. Its description in RNAcentral is "bacterial SSU rRNA". It matches the Rfam family "Bacterial small subunit ribosomal RNA". The record is from RNAcentral. Lineage: Bacteria; Candidatus Altimarinota.
GGUGAACGCUAGCGGUGCGCCUAACACAUGCAAGUCGAGCGAGAAAUUUUCUUUAGCUUGCUAAAGAAAAUGGAAAGCGGCGAACGGGUGAGGAAUAUGUUGAUAUCUGCCCCAAGUCAGGGAUAGCCAGGGAAACCUGGAUUAAUACCGGAUAGUCUCUACGGAGUAAAAAUUUAUUGCUUGGGGAGGAGUCUUCAUUCUAUCAGCUUGUUGGUAAGGUAAUGGCUUACCAAGGCUAUGACGGAUAACUGGUCUGAGAGGAUGAUCAGUCACAAUGGAACUGAGACACGGUCCAUACUCCUACGGGAGGCAGCAGUGAGGAAUCUUCCACAAUGGACGAAAGUCUGAUGGAGCGACACCGCGUGAAGGAUGAAGGCCUAACGGUUGUAAACUUCUUUUCUGAAGGAGCAUAAUGAGAGUACUUCAGGAAUAAGGGACGGCUAAAUACGUGCCAGCAGCCGCGGUAAUACGUAUGUCCCAAGCGUUACCCGGAAUCACUGGGUGUAAAGGGUUCGUAGGUGGGGAAAUAAGUUGGAUAUGAAAGACCGAAGCUCAACUUCGUGUUUGUCUCCAAAACUGUUUUCCUAGAAUCAGGGAGAGGUAAGCGGAAUUCUAAGUGUAGGGGUGCAAUCCGUAGAUACUUAGAAGAACACCAAAAGCGAAGGCAGCUUACUGGAACUGUAUUGACACUGAGGAACGAAAGCGUGGGUAGCGAAAAGGAUUAGAUACCCUUGUAGUCCACGCCCUAAACGAUGAUAACUAAGCGUUGGAAUUUUCCCAGUGCCGUAGCUAACGCGUUAAGUUAUCCACCUGAGGAGUACGGUCGCAAGAUUAAAACUCAAAGGAAUAGACGGGGACCCACACAAGCAGUGGAUCACGUGGUUUAAUUCGACAAUAAACGGGGAACCUUACCCAGGCUUGACAUCUACCGAAUUUCUCAGAGAUGAGAAAGUGCUUUUAUUAGAACGGUAAGACAGGUGCUGCAUGGUUGUCGUCAGCUCGUGCCUUGAGGUGUUCGGUUAAGUCCGUUAACGAGCGCAACCCAUGUCGUUAGUUAUUAUGUCUAACGAGACUGCCUUGGUUAACAAGGAGGAAGGUGUGAUGACGUCAAAUCAGCAUGGCUUUUACGCCUGGGCUACACACAUGAUACAAUGGUAUGUACAAAGAGUAGCAAUCUGGUAACAGUGAGCUAAUCUUAAAAGCAUAUCUCAGUCCGGAUUGAGGUCUGCAACUCGACCUCAUGAAGUUGGAAUUGCUAGUAAUCGUGAGUCAGAUAUGUCACGGUGAAUAUGUUCCUGGGUCUUGUACUCACCGCCCGUCAUGGCAUGGAAGGCAAUAAUAUCGGAAGUCCCUCUAGUAAUAAGGGGGCCCAUGGUAGGAUUGCUGACUGGGCUA